RNAcentral lists this ribosomal RNA (501 nucleotides) under uncultured bacterium. RNAcentral describes it as "partial 16S ribosomal RNA". It matches the Rfam family "Bacterial small subunit ribosomal RNA", at positions 29 to 523 of the family's 1533-position model. The record is from RNAcentral.
AUUGAACGCUGGCGGCAUGCCUUACACAUGCAAGUCGAACGGCAGCACGGGUGCUUGCACCUGGUGGCGAGUGGCGAACGGGUGAGUAAUACAUCGGAACGUACCUUAUCGUGGGGGAUAACGCAGCGAAAGCUGUGCUAAUACCGCGUACGCCCGGAGGGGGAAAGUGGGGGAUCGAAAGACCUCGCGCGAUUAGAGCGGCCGAUGCCUGAUUAGCUUGUUGGUGGGGUAAAAGCCCACCAAGGCGACGAUCAGUAGCUGGUCUGAGAGGACGAUCAGCCACACUGGGACUGAGACACGGCCCAGACUCCUACGGGAGGCAGCAGUGGGGAAUUUUGGACAAUGGGGGCAACCCUGAUCCAGCAAUGCCGCGUGAGUGAAGAAGGCCUUCGGGUUGUAAAGCUCUUUUGUCAGGGAAGAAACACCGGCUCUAACACAGUCCGGGAAUGACGGUACCUGAAGAAUAAGCACCGGCUAACUACGUGCCAGCAGCCGCCGCUG